Molecule: ribosomal RNA, 253 nt
Filed under: uncultured bacterium
Lineage: Bacteria
Description: partial 16S ribosomal RNA
Rfam family: Bacterial small subunit ribosomal RNA
Source: RNAcentral
UACGUAGGUGGCAAGCGUUAUCCGGAUUUAUUGGGUGUAAAGGGCGUGUAGGUGGGAGCGCAAGUCAGAUGUGAAAACUCAGGGCUCAACCCUGAGCCUGCAUUUGAAACUGUGUUUCUUGAGUGCUGGAGAGGCAAUCGGAAUUCCGUGUGUAGCGGUGAAAUGCGUAGAUAUACGGAGGAACACCAGUGGCGAAGGCGGAUUGCUGGACAGUAACUGACGCUGAGGCGCGAAAGCGUGGGGAGCAAACAGG